This 308-nucleotide ribosomal RNA is filed under the name uncultured bacterium. RNAcentral describes it as "bacterial SSU rRNA". It matches the Rfam family "Bacterial small subunit ribosomal RNA", at positions 28 to 334 of the family's 1533-position model. The record is from RNAcentral.
GAUGAACGCUGGCGGCGCGCCUAACACAUGCAAGUCGAACGGCACCCCUCUCCGGAGGGAAGCGAGUGGCGAACGGCUGAGUAACACGUGGAGAACCUGCCCCCUCCCCGGGACUAGCCGCCCGAAAGGACGGGGUAAUACCGGAUACCCGGGGCGCCGCAUGGCGCCCCGGCUAAAGCCCCGACGGGAGGGGGAUGGCGUCCGCGGGACCCAUCAGGUAGACGGCGGGGGUGACGGCCCACCGUGCCGACAACGGGUAGCCGGGUUGAGAGACCGACCGGCCAGAUUGGGACUGAGACACGGCCCAG